This 110-nucleotide ribosomal RNA is filed under the name Pteropus alecto (black flying fox). The record is from RNAcentral. Lineage: Eukaryota; Metazoa; Chordata; Mammalia; Chiroptera; Pteropodidae.
GUCUACGGGCAUACCACCCUGAACAUGCCCGAUCUCGUAAGCUAAAGCAGGGUCGAGCCUGGUUAGUACUUGGAUGAGAGACCAUCUGGGAAUACCAGGUCCUGUAGGAG